GAGUUUGAACCUGGCUCAGGAUGAACGCUGGCGGCGUGCCUAAUACAUGCAAGUCGAGCGAACAGAUAAGGAGCUUGCUCCUUUGAAGUUAGCGGCGGACGGGUGAGUAACACGUGGGUAACCUACCUAUAAGACUGGGAUAACUUCGGGAAACCGGAGCUAAUACCGGAUAACAUUUAGAACCGCAUGGUUCUAAAGUGAAAGAUGGUUUUGCUAUCACUUAUAGAUGGACCCGCGCCGUAUUAGCUAGUUGGUAAGGUAACGGCUUACCAAGGCGACGAUACGUAGCCGACCUGAGAGGGUGAUCGGCCACACUGGAACUGAGACACGGUCCAGACUCCUACGGGAGGCAGCAGUAGGGAAUCUUCCGCAAUGGGCGAAAGCCUGACGGAGCAACGCCGCGUGAGUGAUGAAGGGUUUCGGCUCGUAAAACUCUGUUAUUAGGGAAGAACAAAUGUGUAAGUAACUGUGCAC
RNAcentral lists this ribosomal RNA (474 nucleotides) under uncultured bacterium. Its description in RNAcentral is "bacterial SSU rRNA". It matches the Rfam family "Bacterial small subunit ribosomal RNA", at positions 9 to 473 of the family's 1533-position model. The record is from RNAcentral.